RNAcentral lists this ribosomal RNA (253 nucleotides) under uncultured bacterium. RNAcentral's name for it is "partial 16S ribosomal RNA". It matches the Rfam family "Bacterial small subunit ribosomal RNA", at positions 57 to 305 of the family's 1533-position model. The record is from RNAcentral.
GCAAGUCGAGGGGUAACAGGUAUUUCUUUCAAUCCGCUGACGACCGGCGGACGGGUGCGUAACGCGUAUAGAACCUACCUUUUACUGAGGGAUAGCCUUUAGAAAUGAAGAUUAAUACCUCAUGGUAUUGAAUUUUGGCAUCAGAAUUUAAUUAAAGAUUUAUUGGUAAAAGAUGGCUAUGCGUCCUAUUAGCUAGAUGGUAAGGUAACGGCUUACCAUGGCAACGAUAGGUAGGGGUCCUGAGAGGGAGAUC